GGUCCUACGGGAGGCAGCAGUGGGGAAUAUUGCACAAUGGGGGAAACCCUGAUGCAGCAACGCCGCGUGAGUGAAGAAGGUUUUCGGAUUGUAAAGCUCUGUUAGCAGGGAAGAGGAAGGACGGUACCUGCAGAGGAAGCCACGGCUAACUACGUGCCAGCAGCCGCGGUAAUACGUAGGGGGCGAGCGUUAUCCGGAUUCAUUGGGCGUAAAGCGCGCGUAGGCGGCCGCCUAAGCGGAACCUCUAACCCCGGGGCUCAACCUCGGGCCGGGUUCCGGCCUGGGCGGCUCGAGUGCGGUAGAGG
RNAcentral lists this ribosomal RNA (305 nucleotides) under uncultured bacterium. Its description in RNAcentral is "bacterial SSU rRNA". It matches the Rfam family "Bacterial small subunit ribosomal RNA", at positions 335 to 657 of the family's 1533-position model. The record is from RNAcentral.